UCGGGAAUCUUGGGCAAUGGGGGAAACCCUGACCCAGCGACGCCGCGUGGAGGAUGAAGGCCUUCGGGUUGUAAACUCCUGUCUUCGAGGACGCGGUACUCGGAGAGGAAGCCCGGCUAACUACGUGCCAGCAGCCGCGGUAAGACGUAGGGGGCGAGCGUUGUCCGGAAUUACUGGGCGUAAAGGGCAAGUAGGCGGCUUGUCAAGUCGGAUGUGAAAGGCGCGGGCUCAACCCGCGGACGCCAUUCGAAACUGUCAAGCUUGAGGGCAGAAGAGGAGAGCGGAAUUCCCGGUGUAGCGGUGAAAUGCGUAGAUACCGGGAGGAACACCAGUGGCGAAGGCGGCUCUCUGGUCUGUGCCUGACGCUCAAUUGCGAAAGCCAGGGGAGCGAACGGGAUUAGAUACCCUAGUAGU
Molecule: ribosomal RNA, 414 nt
Filed under: uncultured bacterium
Lineage: Bacteria
Description: bacterial SSU rRNA
Rfam family: Bacterial small subunit ribosomal RNA
Source: RNAcentral